AAGCUGAAUUUUGACGUAAUUUCUCUUGAUGUAGCUAGCAGAUGACAGAGGUGUGUUUGAAAGUCAGCAGCAUUCUGACAGCGAUUAGAAUGUCCUCCGUCUGCUAGUCUUCUUGAUUCUUAAAUUCUGUGGAGCUCAAAUAGACAACAUAGCUUGUGGAACUGAUUAAGUGUUAGCAUAAAUAUCUAGCCUUUAUCAUGUUGAGACUCCUUAAUAAUUGUUACUCCCUGUUUUUAUAUUUUUGUUUUUAUAGAGCAGAAAAAAUAUUUAUUUUAUUUUUAUGCCACCACAGUGAAUGUACUUAUGGGUUUUAUGCCACUCAUCUACUCACAUGGGGCUUACAGUUUUUUCACAUUUUUAUUUUCUUUUUAAGAUAGUAUGAAUAUGAUUAACUCAGUAAACUAUUUGAAAUAAAUAAAAGGGAAAAGAUAACUACCAAGUUUACCUCUUGGCAAGGCGUUCGGUGUUUUUAAGUCCUCCGAAAGGGACUCUCCAUUUUCUUAAUCGUCCUGAGGUUCGUUGGGUGGCGUAGUCGGUACUUCCGGCAGCGCCUCCUCUUCUUGUAUAGUUAUCUUCAUUUUCCAUACCUGACUUGGUGCUUUAAUCUCCUUUGGAUAAUUCUGUUAAACUCUANNNNNNNNNNNNNNNNNNNNNNNNNNNNNNNNNNNNNNNNNNNNNNNNNNNNNNNNNNNNNNNNNNNNNNNNNNNNNNNNNNNNNNNNNNNNNNNNNNNNAACGCCAGAACCAAGGAGAAACUUAUAAAAGCGAUACUCAAGUACCUUAAAAUGUUACCUUACUUGAAGAGUGACGGUACAGUAUCACCUUGUGGAAGCUUUCCUUUCUUAGCGGUUGUGCAUCGUGUUUGUGGCACCCUCCAUGAAUCAUCUCUUUAUGAUAAAUGAGCUAUGUCUUUCUUGUGCAAAUCAUUAAACUUCAUGUGUCUCCUUUAUCCCCAAUGUAAGUUUAUAUCUCAGGACUUCCCAGGUUGAUAUUGAAAGUUUUCCUGCAGGGGUUAGUCCCACAAAAUAUACCAAUAUCUACUCAAGCAGUUUUUUUAGUUCAGUAACCAAACUAGAUUCCAUGUCUAAUUAGAUUAAGGAAGGCUAUUUAACCUAAGCACCAUGCUUAAUUUAAAUGCCAAUGGAAGUAUGUCAAGUACUUCCAAACCAACACUUGCUAGUAAAUAGACAAAGGUAGCAUGACAGCAUUUAUAGAGAUCUACUCAAGUGGAGAUGAAGUAGUGUGAUUAGUACUUAACAAAUUGAGCAUCUCUCAAAGGUAGGGACAACCAACAUAGCAACAUGGCAAAGGAUGUUUUUAUGUAAAGUACUCCCCCAAGCUUGAAUUUUGCGAAAUUCAAGUUUGGAUGAAUUUAAUUCAAUGUUGUAUGAUGGUUGGUUGGACAUACCUUGUGCUUGUCAUUCAUCCGAUCUUCUUGCUCCAAUCCUAGAAAGGUUAGUGGCAAGAAUACCCGAAGGAAUAUUUCUACAAUUAUCUCAAUAUGCUCAAUACACAAGGCAAUGUUGCAAAUAAUUAGAAGUUCAUGUUACGAUCUGAUAAGUGCUUGUUUAAGGACGCUAAGCUUAUCCUUGGGAAACCAUCAAGUUAUGUUGGUGAAGUGGUUUCCCCUCCAACACCAACCUAUAUCAAGAUCAACUCAACGAGAUCUGCAAUAUUUAUUAUAGACAUAUGCAUCGACAACCGCCCUUUUAAAGUUUUUAUAAAUAGAAAGGAAGAGGGGGUUGGAGAUCUCAAAUGUGGUAAGGAUGGAGAGACCAAUUGAUUGGGGAGAUGUUUUAUAUGAGCAAGGACUUGGUAAGGUAUUUAUGAAAUAAUUGUUGGGUAUUCUUAACAUCAUUACCAAAAGUAGACUAAGUUCUCUAAAUCUAGCAACGGUGCCAAAAAUGCCAAACCUAUCCCUCACACCACUUAAGCCAAGUUGUCAUCCCCAGCAUGAUAUAAGAGACGCGGUAUUGAAAUAUGCAAUUGCUCUUCUAAAUGAAUAAUGAAUGGGAUCUGCAAGCGCACAGAUUAAUACCGAUGCAGCAUUUUAACCGGGAAGUAUUCCAGGUAUCGUUAUUUAUAUUUUUACCACUGGGAAGGGAUUAGAAAUCAUCACUAAUGAUUACAGAAUAGAAUAUGAGAUUGAGCAUCUAUCAUUGCAUGUAUAAUUGAGAACAUUAUAUCUAACUCUUCAUACAGGGAUAAGUGUCACAUAAAAGAUAUAUGAAGUAAUAAUAGUGACAAGGAUAAUUAAUCUGAUCUAGCCACAUAAUAAAUAUGAUAAGCACCUCAAUUAGAUACUCUAGAAAGUCAUUAGCAUGGUAUUAGAACGAACUACAAGAAUAUUCCCUAAGUUAUUCUUAACUAUAUAGUCUAGCAUUAUCAUAAUUAGUGCAAGCAUACUUAGCAAUCAUUGUGAGACAAGACUACGCCCAUGCAUAGUGAUAUUAGCAAGGAAUAUGAGAAACAUAGCAAUCACUCCCCUGUAAUAAUGUUGCUCUGCCAGCCCAAUACAUGAGAGGGGGACUAUAUAAGAAUCAAUGAAGCUGUCACUAUCACGAACUACCCCACGAUCUGGCAUAUUGGGUACAAUCGCAGAUAAAUACGGUAUAAGCACCACGCCUACACAAUAUCUAUCAUUUACCCAUGGAUCCGAUGGAUAAACGCUAUACGAUCCUAAGCAUGUAUAUAGAUCCAAUCUAACUAAGCCAAGUACAUAACUAUGAUAAACUAAGAACAAUAUAAUCUUGAAUAUAAGCAAGUAGAGCAAAGUCAUAAGCAAUAUAUUGAAGUAGAACAAAGUCAUAUUCAUAAUAUUGAAGAACAAAGAUAAUUAGAAAGCAAUUAGAAGCACAAUUAGAGAAUUACCAAGAAUCCUCCUGACAGAUCCGGAAACCAAUCAAAGAUUGACUCCUUCUAGUUCUAAUCCUAUGUAGCUAUGCUAAUCUAGAUGUCUAAUUGAUGUGGUGGCUCUAAUCUUGAUCAGAGGCUUCUUCUCCCUUGAUGGAACAAUGAAUUAGGGUUGAGAGGCUCCCUCCUCCAGGGGCCAGGGGGUCUGGUUUUAUAGUCCCUCCAAGUGAAUAUGGGUCAUUGGAUCAAACCGACAUAGAUUGUAUGGUUUAGAUUCAUCCUUUAGGUCGGUGGAGAUCUCCCGCAAAGCAGAGUCCUGAUUGGACUUGGGGGCAGGGCGGGCGCCCAGUAGGACAGGGCGGGCGCCCUGUCUCUAGCCCCGUUUCGCCUCUGCUUCGGUCUCGUGGCUUCUGGAGUCUUCUAGAUAUAAGAUAAUUGCGCAGCACGUUAAUAUCUUUACGUAAUCCCGACAUGUGGGACUUUCUUCCAUAUUUCCUGAUAACCCCCUGCAGAAAUAGACAAAUACCAAAACUCGUGGAAUUCUGUCAGAUAAAACCCUAAGUCUGGAUGUUGAUUUCAUUUGGAUCCUUUUCUUUAUUUAUUUGAUAAUUAAAUUUGAUACUUAAGGACCGUCAACAAACUCCCCCAAGCUUACCUCUUGCUCGUCCCUGAGCAAGGAUAGACUCAGCUAUGGAUCAUAAGUUGUUGCAAUAUUUAAAAAUUGACGGUACACAUGCUUUUUAAAUAAGAUCUCGUCUCUGAGUUAGAGUAAACUGUCAAGACUUAAAACUUACUUACUUUACCUUCACCAUGGGACUUGUAACCGUCACUUCUGUCUUGAGUAGUUAAAAGAUAGAACAGUCUAGCCAAGUGCCGUGUCUCUUAUUCUUGAUCAGCUAUAGCUCUAGAGUUUUUGUAGAUUUUCAAAUAAAACUCAAAGAUUCCUUGUAUGAUUCUCUCAGAUCUCUCUUUCGUGGUAUUUCUGGAUCCUUACCAAGGCAGUGAUGGUAUAUGCCUUCUCUCAAUAUAUGUAGUAUUUGUGGUAUGAGGCAUAGUGACAUUGCCUUCUCUCUCACCCUACUCUAAUAAGGCUUUAAUAUCUGGAGCUCAUAGGUGGGAGAUAAAGUAUACAUACUUACAAGACAUUUAUUGCAUAGUCAAACCAUGGAUCCAAAGAAACAUAUCAAUAAGCCAAAUCAAGAUGUGCAUGUGUGGCGAAUGAAUGGUGUAUGGUGAUAACGGUGAUAACAAUGGUGGAAACAAUGGUGGUGGAAGUCUAAUUCUACUUUCCUCUUUGAGGGGAUACAUACCUUCCUUGCUUUUGAAACUUUAUGAGGAGAAUGAGAUGCUCAUCUUUUUCUUUUCUUUCGAGGUUCCGAGCACUUGCUCCUUUUUAUUUCCUCGUAUCUUUUUUCUUUUUCUCUCUUUUUUCUUUUUUUUAAAGCAUUCAUCUCUUGAGAUAAUAUAGCAAGUGGUAGUAACAAGAUAACUUGAGCAUUUAUUUCACAAGGGGAAAACAGAAAUAUUUUUGGUUAUUCUCUCCCGGAUUAGGAGUAGAAUAUUUUUGGUUGGUUCUGGAGAUGGAAUGGGUGGAUAUAUGUGGAUGGUACUUCCGGAGUAGAAGUAGCAUAUAUGAGUGAACGUACAAGUCAAUCUUGAUUUAACCACAUGACAAGUUCCUAAGGGUCUACACAGCUUGACCACACUCAAUGCUCAUAAGCAGUAAAUAAUAAAUGUGUGGCUCAAAGUCUAGCAAGCAUGUAUAUAUGGCUGUGGUAGGAAUUUAAACUCUCAUCAUAUAGGAACUUAUCAUGCAACAUUUUAAAGAUUUUCAAAGAUAAAAUUCUCCAGAAUUCUAGCAUCUCUAGGAAUAGAUAAACAGCAGCUCAACCUUCCCAUAUCAUAUCCGUUAACAACUUAGACUUCAGAUCAAGUUUUCAUCCCACAAGUUUAGGUCUAGAGCAAGCUUUAAAUUAUAACAGUUAUAUCUAAACUUGAGAGAGAACUUAAAAUUUGCAAAUUAGGCAGAGCAACUAUUUAUCAUAUCCAUGCUUAAGUUUUAUUUAGAUACAGAUUAGCAUAGCCACUUUAUUUAUUAAACACACUAAGCAAAAGAUAUAUAAGCAUAAAAUCUUUAUUUGGUUUUCCAUAGUUUAUGUGUAUUUAUAUUCUAAAAUAAUAUAAGUAUAAAGAUAGAUAGAAAUACUUAUCGAGAUAAAUGGGGGUGCUCUCCCCCAAGCUGAAUUUUGACGUAAUUUCUCUUGAUGUAGCUAGCAGAUGACAGAGGUGUGUUUGAAAGUCAGCAGCAUUCUGACAGCGAUUAGAAUGUCCUCCGUCUGCUAGUCUUCUUGAUUCUUAAAUUCUGUGGAGCUCAAAUAGACAACAUAGCUUGUGGAACUGAUUAAGUGUUAGCAUAAAUAUCUAGCCUUUAUCAUGUUGAGACUCCUUAAUAAUUGUUACUCCCUGUUUUUAUAUUUUUGUUUUUAUAGAGCAGAAAAAAUAUUUAUUUUAUUUUUAUGCCACCACAGUGAAUGUACUUAUGGGUUUUAUGCCACUCAUCUACUCACAUGGGGCUUACAGUUUUUUCACAUUUUUAUUUUCUUUUUAAGAUAGUAUGAAUAUGAUUAACUCAGUAAACUAUUUGAAAUAAAUAAAAGGGAAAAGAUAACUACCAAGUUUACCUCUUGGCAAGGCGUUCGGUGUUUUUAAGUCCUCCGAAAGGGACUCUCCAUUUUCUUAAUCGUCCUGAGGUUCGUUGGGUGGCGUAGUCGGUACUUCCGGCAGCGCCUCCUCUUCUUGUAUAGUUAUCUUCAUUUUCCAUACCUGACUUGGUGCUUUAAUCUCCUUUGGAUAAUUCUGUUUAAACUCUACGUCUUCUGACCUUAUAACUUCUCCUUCAUAGUCUGCCCAUCCGUCCUUGAUGAUCUGCCUCCUCUGGAUGCGUCGCUUUCUUACCUGCUUAGAUUCUUCAACGAUAUAGUUAGGGUUAGUAAAAUAACGGCGUACCUUCUCUAAGGGGAAGUGCAUAUGGACUUCUCCGGUUCCAAUGUAGAUAAUUGCUUUAACGGUGCUGAGGAACGGUCUUCCAAGGAUGAUGGGUGGAUCAUACUCAUCUUCUCCCUUGUCAAUAACUUGAAAGUCUGUGUAGACAAAGUGAUCGUCUAUUUUGACCGGGACAUCAGAUACUAUUCCUUUAACUUCUCGAAAUGUCUGAUCUGCCAUCUGGAGCUGAAUGUAUGUUGGUCUUAGGGGCAUGGUUCCGAAUAAGAGCCGAUAGGUGACUGCGGCCAUUAUGUUGACGCCCGAUCCGGUGUCGCAAAUCGUCUUGUAGAAGUUGUAUCCAUUUAUGGAGCAGUAGAUGCUUGGCAUUCCUGGGUCGUCCUUCUUGGUCAAAAGUGGUGACUUAAGUUGGUGAUCUUGGCCUCCAUGAACUACAGUGACCAUCUUAGCUGACUCGGUCCACACUUGCUUGUUCCUGUUUCUCCUAUUGGUCCUCUUCCUUGAUUUACGUCUGGAUUGAUCUUGAAUUUGUGUAGUCUUGUUCUUGAAGAAAAAUGUCUCCUUCUUCCCUUUGACGUAGAAACUGAUCUUGGCAGCACUGGCGUUGAUGAUAACUCCCGUGGUGUUCAAGAAUGGCCUCCCUAGGAUGAUAGGUGCUCUCUCAUCAUUCCCGGUCUCUACCACUACGAAGUCUGCUGGGGCAUACAAGGUACCAACUCGGACACAAAGGUUCUUCACUAUUCCUUUUGGAAAACUUAUCGUCUGAUCUGCAAACUGCAAACACAUGGUUGUUUCUAAUAAAGGAUACGUAAAGAAUUUCUCAUAGAGUACCCUGGGUAUAAUGUUGACACUGGAGCCAAAGUCACAGAGUGCUUCUGGAACGUCCACCAUGCCGAUG
RNAcentral lists this long non-coding RNA (6750 nucleotides) under Sorghum bicolor (sorghum). Its description in RNAcentral is "long non-coding RNA (SBIC_LNC015788)". The record is from RNAcentral. Lineage: Eukaryota; Viridiplantae; Streptophyta; Magnoliopsida; Poales; Poaceae.